AGUUACUGUAACCACCUAGAUUGCAAGAAACCUUUCCUUUGUGGGCUAGCCAAGUGGGCAGGAGUAAAGCCUUUGAGGAAUCGCCACUGACUGAACUAAUUUACACUCCCACCAACAGGGUACAGAAAAGUGGUGAAAGUUCCUUACCAUAAUUCUGGCAUGUCAGCUCCCAACCACUCCACUGCCAAUCAUGAUAUGUUUGUCCUCAUUGGCGUUCCUGGCCUGAAGGAGCUGCACGUGUGGAUCUCCAUCCCCUUCUGUCUGAUGUACCUGGUGGCUGUGUCAGGAAAUGGUCUCCUUGUCUGUGUGGUGGCAGUGGAGCACAGUCUUCAUGAACCUAUGUACCUUUUCCUCUCCAUGCUGGCAUUUUGGGAUCUGAUUCUAUCCACAUCUGCAGUACCCAAAGCCUUGAGCAUUUUCUGGUUUGAUGAUGUGGACAUCUCCUUUGGUGGCUGUGUCACUCAGCUCUUUUUUAUGCAUUUUGCCUUUGUAGCGGAGUCAGGCAUUCUCUUGACCAUGGCUUUCGACCGCUAUGUGGCCAUCUGCUACCCAUUGAGGUAUAGCACCAUCCUUAGCCACAGUGUUAUUGGCAAAAUUGGGGGUGUCGUGGUGUUCAGGAGUUUUGCAACUGUCUUCUCCAUCGUCUUCCUUGUGAAGCGUCUGCCCUUCUGCCGGACAAACAUCAUUGCCCACACCUUCUGUGAACACAUGGGGCUGGCAAAGCUAGGUUGUUCUGAAAUCACCAUCAAUAUUUGGUAUGGAAUCUCUGUACCACUACUCAGUGUUACGUUAGAUAUGGUGACAAUAGUCAUCUCCUAGGGGCUCAUAGUUCAAGCAGUCUUCAGGCUGCCCUCCCUUGGUGCUUGGAUGAAAGCACUCAGCACCUGUGGUUCCCAUGGCAGUGUCAUCCUCAUGUUCUGCCUUCCAGGAAUUUUCACUGUCAUUGUUCAGCGCUUUGCCUGAAAAUUUCCCAAGUAUGUCCACAUCCUGCUGGCCAAUCUCUAUGUUCUUGUUCCCCCCAUGAUGAACCCAAUUAUCUAUGGAGUAAAGACUAAACAGAUUCAGAAAGGGGUUGCCCUUGUGUUUUCUCCAAAAGGAAAAUGUUGCUGA
RNAcentral lists this long non-coding RNA (1110 nucleotides) under Homo sapiens (human). RNAcentral's name for it is "novel transcript". Lineage: Eukaryota; Metazoa; Chordata; Mammalia; Primates; Hominidae. The record is from RNAcentral.